Long non-coding RNA from Nannospalax galili (Upper Galilee mountains blind mole rat), 1147 nucleotides. RefSeq lists it as uncharacterized. Lineage: Eukaryota; Metazoa; Chordata; Mammalia; Rodentia; Spalacidae. The transcript is spliced from 3 exons. The record is from RefSeq and is a predicted model, not a curated record.
GGAAAAAAUGACUCUCCGGGACCACAAGUAGGGACUGCUGUAGAUGACUUGAGCUAGUGGUGUGGUCCAGCUCCAGACUCAUGCCAUAGGGUGAGCCCAAAAGCCAGCUGCUGCAGAACCAGGCAACAAGCCCCAGGCAGCUCCUCCCCUCAGCACAAGACCCCCAUUUUGAAACCAUUACUUCCCCAGCCACACCCCAUCCAUGAGGGUGUCAUACAGUGGCCGUCAGUGAGAGGAGAGACGAAAUCCUUCAGGGCUCUGAGGAAGCCACGUGACACCUGGCAUUGUCUCCCUCACCUUAGCCUUGUGCACACCCCAGGCUCCGGAGCAGCCCUCAAGCCCAAUGCCGUCCCUACCAGAUGACAGACACAUGCGCCUGUGUCCCCGGCCCCCAGACAGAGUGCCAUAUGAGUGCCUGCUGUACAGAGUCGGCUCCCUUUAUCUCUGGCUGAAGUCCUGAGGGAGGAGAGGGAGGAAUAUCACCUGUUACCACCAGCUGAUGAGUCACCUCCUGCUGCUGGGACCACAGCCUGCCUGACCACUGCCUCUGAGCGCCCCACGGAGGGUUGGGGAGGAGGAGGCUCUUGAUACGAAGAUGGACUGUGACAUCCAUCAUUCCCCGGAUGCACCCUGGCCACGGGGGGUUGAGGACAAGACCCUGAGGUCAGAGUCUGGCUCUCAUACUCUCACCUGGCAACCUGGGUAGCUGUGUCCCCUUCCUCAUGCCCAAUCACACAUCCAUACACGCGUUGCUCCUGGUGAUCAGGUACAGGUCCUGAUCAGGUACAGGCUGUGAGGGCCACAAGGGGUACCUGAAGCCAUCCUGCCCUAGGGAGGUGGCAGGGGGCCAUGCUGAGAGCUGGAGUGGAUAAGAAGCCGCCUGCCCACACCUGUGAAUUGGCUUGAGGCGAUGGGGUGAUGUGGAACAGCGCCCAUGAGGAGCACCUUAGCAAUAUAAAGGGGCCUCUGGGAAGCCCCUGGCUGCAGUUGCAAUGGGCAAAGACCAGCAAGGGUGAUGGUUAUUUCUGGGAAGGGUCUGGAGAGGCCCCAGCAUGUACAUAGGUCCUGAGGCUGCACGAAGCUCAGCAGCCCUGGCAGGUGACAAAGUACAAUAAACAUCAGCUGGUCACCUGGCCUCGUGAUCAUC